GUACCUUUUCAGCUGCCUUACAAAGUCUUACUGAAACUGAUUUUCAACCUAGGGUAGUUUUUUGUACUCGGUUCCUGCAAAUGUGUGAACGU
Frieseomelitta varia is the source of this 92-nucleotide long non-coding RNA. RefSeq lists it as uncharacterized. The transcript is spliced from 3 exons. The record is from RefSeq and is a predicted model, not a curated record. NCBI's taxonomy places the organism in Eukaryota, Metazoa, Arthropoda, Insecta, Hymenoptera, Apidae.